UUACACAAAGCACUAAAACAGCCAGGCCUAGAAAUAACAUUGUUUCCAGAAGACUUUUGAAGCCUUUGCUUGCCUCUUAAUUUGCUCUUUAUAAUUUAUACUUUCUGUAUUGGAGGGAGCCGAUGGAUGGUGAAGCUGCAAGUCAGGCAGAGCCCCGAGCUUACCUCACUGCCAUUCACACUGGAAACUGAGGCAGCGAGCGAGCGAAGGCUUGCUCAGAUGGAAACGGUGAUUUCUGGCCCCCUUUAAAAUCAAGCAUAAAAUCAUAGCAAAGUCCUAAGUAGCGCAAGCAUUUGUCUUCUCAUCCAGUAGUUAAAUACAGAUGUAAACAUCACUUUAGCUCAGCAAGACUAGCUGGAGAAAACACUCUUAAUUCUGGGCAAGGAAAGGAAUUCUUUUUCUUUAAAACAAUUAAACUACUAAUGUACACACUCAGGCUCCUAAUAGGCUCGUAUCCUUAAACUACUUUCUGGAGACUUUGCUUCAGUCCCUUUAAAAUCUAAAGCCAUGAAGGCAGUUACAAAGAAACAAAAGCAGAUGAUAACAGCAUACACGGAUCUCAGAUAUACCGAGUGAAGUCAAAGAACCCAGACACAAAGGAGUGCGUGUUGCAUACAAUUUCAUUGCAGAACUACUGUCCUAAGAGCAGGCCACCGACUGCCGGAAUUCGGGUAGGGAGAUGGACUUGACAAGGCGUGCAGGCAUUUGAGAGGCAUGAGAGUUGGUAGGAUGACACAGGCACAUUGUAAGAACUCAUCAAACCAUGCCUGAAGUGAUACAUCGAAUAGGUCAGAGGUCAAAGCCCAAGUAAGACCUUUAGCAACAGGGAUAAGCUGGAGAGUGGAGUGGAACUGCACACUUAGAUUCAUGUUUAAUACCUUGAGUUUUCAUUUAAACUCACCCUCUGACAGUAAAGCAGGCAGAAAAGAAGAAAAAUCAGAUAAGUGGAAUCACACACAAACAUACUCUCCAUAAUGUUCUGAUCACAUCUGCUUAAAUGUAUGGUUUUCUUUGUUUCCUGUCUUUUUGUGGGUUUGUUGGUUUCAGAAAUCAUUGAGAAGAUUUCAAAAAUAAAGUAAUUUAAAGGAAUAUUUAAAUAUAGUAGAACGCAGCUUGAAACACAAGGAUUCACCAAGUGCUAUGUGAAAGGAUAGUCAUUUUAAACAUUUAUUUAUUCACUUGUCAAUUGUACAACCAUGAUAGAUUUGGGACAUAAUCUAUAAGGUUUUUUUCCUUUUUCUUUUGGUUUUUCAAAAUAGUGUUUCUCUUUGUUAGCCCUAGCUGUCUGUCCUGCAACUCGAUCUGUAGAUCAGGCUCAAAGAGAUCUGUCUGCCCCUGCCUUUGAGCUUCUGGAAUUAAGGUGUGCACAACUACAUCUGGCUUGUUCUCAUGUUUUAUUUUUUGAGAUGAUCUCUGUAGCCCAUACUGGCCUGAGCCUUGUGGCAGUCCUCCUGCCUCAGCCUCCCAAGUGCUGGGAUUACAUAUGUAAGUCACCAUGUUUGUAGUGUUGCCCCUCUCCGACCCCAGUCCCCCAUCUUGAAGGUAAUACCAGGCUUUUGAGGAUUUAAGUAGUUAGGUCAGAGCUAAAACAAUUGAAGUAAGUGCUUCAGCUGGUGAUUGAAUUGGUCUGUUUUCUGUCCAAGAGAGGAAGUGGGGUAAUAUGAAAGGCAAGGACAUACCUGGGCAUAUCUGCAAGUUUUUGACUCAGUAAAAUGGACUUUGGUGACAGUUUUGGCUUUUUACAGCUAGUAAUGUAAUGGCAGGCAUGGAUUCUUAGCUGAUGCCACAUUGACCCUCCAACAGGAUAGCAGCCUUGUCCUCAGUAGACCCUUUCUUCAGUCCUAAUAUCCUGCUUCUCGUGUUACUUGUAAAUUUUCCCCCAAAUCAUUUGCAAAUAUCCAAAAAAUGUGCUUCAUGUAUUUUCUUUGAUUGCAUGCCUUAAAGUAUCACUUUUACUAUAUGGCAUGGAACAUUGCUGUCAAAGUUUGAUGCCAGUUUUAUUUUCUUUUUGUGUGAAGGUGGAAAGGAUUUUUCCUUUUAAAAGUAUAAGAGUUUAGCUAGAACAUGUUUCCUGGGCUAGUUUCCACCUUUUCGUUAUGUUGUUUUGGGGUUUUAUUUGAGGAGAGUUUUCUUGACUUGUAGUGUUUAGCAUUUGUUCUGUUACAUGGCAUUGGUUUCCUCUUACUUUUGAAUCAUCGUGACAUUCAUAUUGAAUCAUCUCUCAUUGGUGUUGGAAUUCCAGGAGUGCCUGGUUCAAACUACUGCUUCAUAAAUAUGAAGGACAUAUUUACUAGUCCCAAGAAGAAGGGAGGCAAUUACCUUUAUCCUGAGAGCCAUGGCUCCCGGCAUCUCCUCCUUUUAAUUAUUUUCACUAAGGCCCCACGUAACUGGGGUGAUCAGUAGUCAUUUCAUCCUUGGAUGAGUGGGCGUUAGCCAGCGGGGAGCAUUGACCUGAUUCCUUCCGUGGGUACCGUCACCACCCACAGUCAUGGCUCUUGGUAUCUUUUGGGGAGGGGAGGCAGAGCCUUAGAAAAAUCCUUAGGAUAAGGUUGAAAACAGAUACCAACCUCCUUGCUGUGUGAGACCUUCCCCUGCGGUGCAACCCACGCUGGUGCCCAUACUGGAUUCAUUUUUAUCAAGAACCAGUAUGCACAGGUCUGAAUCCUAUGCAGCUCCUGAAGGAGAAUUAUCAACCCCAGGUUCAGCAAGGCCUCUGUCAGCCAAAUCAAGUCUAUGAUAAUGAAUCUGCAAAGGUCUCGAUGCCAAGGAAUCAAUCUGCUGGUUUAUACAACCGGUAAUUCUAUUAAAAAUAAAGGGCCCCAAAGUUACUAAUAAUAAAAUGCUUAUUAAAGGUCCAAGGAGGGGCAUCAAGAGGGUGUACAUAGAGGACUUCCACCAAUUAUCAGCAGUGGCUGAAAACUGUUUUCUCUGGAGUUCCAACUUAAGUUUAUGUAACUGUUAGAUUCGUGUUUCUACUACACCUGAUUCAUUUACAUAAAAGCAACAUUCUUCUUGCAGAAAGAGACAGGUGCCACCUUUCUCAGCAGUCAGCAAAUCAAGUGUUCUUCGAUUAUGUAAGGCAACUUGGGCAAGGGAAGUUAAUUGUCUCUGUAAAGAAGCUAAUGACUCAAUGGAGGCUUCCACUGCCAAUGCAAAUUGUUGAGAUAAUUUGGCGGUGGUAAGAAGAGAAUGGGUUAAAGCUCCUCCAGCCAAACCUGCAGCCACAACAGAGGUUACAGAGGAGAUGCCGGCCACUGCAGGGAGGAAAACAGCUCGCUUGAUUCUAAUAUCUGGGGGGCUAUCCCAGGUCAAAUACUCGGUGGGAGUUAGCAAGGUCAACUGAGGAACUAGGGUCACGUGAAGACACAGCAAUUUUUUAUCUAUGUUUUUGGAGAGAGUUUUAGUAAGGGUACCAUUACA
This 3420-nucleotide long non-coding RNA is filed under the name Mus musculus (house mouse). RNAcentral's name for it is "long non-coding RNA chr17:84969415-84972835". The record is from RNAcentral. Lineage: Eukaryota; Metazoa; Chordata; Mammalia; Rodentia; Muridae.